GAUGAACGCUGGCGGCGUGCUUAACACAUGCAAGUCGAACGGUGAAGGCGGAGCUUGCUCUGCUGGAUCAGUGGCGAACGGGUGAGUAACACGUGAGCAAUCUGCCCCUGACUCUGGGAUAAGCGCUGGAAACGGCGUCUAAUACUGGAUACGAGCUGCGAAGGCAUCUUCAGCAGCUGGAAAGAAUUUCGGUCAGGGAUGAGCUCGCGGCCUAUCAGCUUGUUGGUGAGGUAAUGGCUCACCAAGGCGUCGACGGGUAGCCGGCCUGAGAGGGUGACCGGCCACACUGGGACUGAGACACGGCCCAGACUCCUACGGGAGGCAGCAGUGGGGAAUAUUGCACAAUGGGCGAAAGUCUGAUGCAGCAACGCCGCGUGAGGGACGACGGCCUUCGGGUUGUAAACCUCUUUUAGCAGGGAAGAAGCGAAAGUGACGGUACCUGCAGAAAAAGCGCCGGCUAACUACGUG
Molecule: ribosomal RNA, 468 nt
Filed under: uncultured bacterium
Lineage: Bacteria
Description: partial 16S ribosomal RNA
Rfam family: Bacterial small subunit ribosomal RNA
Source: RNAcentral